Molecule: ribosomal RNA, 426 nt
Filed under: uncultured Rhodocyclaceae bacterium
Lineage: Bacteria; Pseudomonadati; Pseudomonadota; Betaproteobacteria; Rhodocyclales; Rhodocyclaceae
Description: bacterial SSU rRNA
Rfam family: Bacterial small subunit ribosomal RNA
Source: RNAcentral
GGGGAAUAUUGGACAAUGGGCGAAAGCCUGAUCCAGCCAUGCCGCGUGUGUGAAGAAGGUCUUCGGAUUGUAAAGCACUUUAAGUUGGGAGGAAGGGUUUCUGGCUAAUAUCCAGGAAUUUUGACGGUACCGUAAGAAGAAGCACCGGCUAACUACGUGCCAGCAGCCGCGGUAAUACGUAGGGUGCGAGCGUUAAUCGGAAUUACUGGGCGUAAAGCGUGCGCAGGCGGUUUGGUAAGACAGGUGUGAAAUCCCCGGGCUUAACCUGGGAACUGCGCUUGUGACUGCCAGGCUAGAGUACGGCAGAGGGGGGUGGAAUUCCACGUGUAGCAGUGAAAUGCGUAGAGAUGUGGAGGAACACCGAUGGCGAAGGCAGCCCCCUGGGCCUGUACUGACGCUCAUGCACGAAAGCGUGGGGAGCAAACA